This 327-nucleotide ribosomal RNA is filed under the name uncultured eukaryote. RNAcentral describes it as "partial 18S ribosomal RNA". It matches the Rfam family "Eukaryotic small subunit ribosomal RNA", at positions 1470 to 1796 of the family's 1831-position model. The record is from RNAcentral.
CCCUUAGAUGUUCUGGGCCGCACGCGCGCUACACUGACGAAUGCAACGAGCUUAUAACCUUGGCCGAAAGGUCUGGGUAAUCUCCAAAUUUCGUCGUGAUGGGGAUAGAUUAUUGCAAUUAUUAAUCUUCAACGAGGAAUGCCUAGUAAGCGCAAGUCAUCAGCUUGCGUUGAUUACGUCCCUGCCCUUUGUACACACCGCCCGUCGCUCCUACCGAUUGAAUGGUCCGGUGAAGCGCUCGGACCGCGGCCUCUUGACGGUUUUCCGUCGAUUGGCUGUGGGAAGUUCGUUAAACCUUAUCAUUUAGAGGAAGGAGAAGUCGUAACG